CAGUAGCCGCGGGAAUACGUAGGUGGCAAGCGUUGUCCGGAAUUAUUGGGCGUAAAGGGCUCGCAGGCGGUUUCUUAAGUCUGAUGUGAAAGCCCCCGGCUCAACCGGGGAGGGUCAUUGGAAACUGGGAAACUUGAGUGCAGAAGAGGAGAGUGGAAUUCCACGUGUAGCGGUGAAAUGCGUAGAGAUGUGGAGAAACACCAGUGGCGAAGGCGACUCUCUGGUCUGUAACUGACGCUGAGGAGCGAAAGCGUGGGGAGCGAACAGGAUUAGAUACCCCUGUAGUCCCUGUCUCUUAUAC
Molecule: ribosomal RNA, 301 nt
Filed under: uncultured bacterium
Lineage: Bacteria
Description: partial 16S ribosomal RNA
Rfam family: Bacterial small subunit ribosomal RNA
Source: RNAcentral